AGAAAGAGAGAGAAAGUGUGGAAGAAGCGUCGGUCGCCACUUGCUAUUUGUACCCGCAUUUUCCCCACCGCCACGCCCUCUCGCUGGUCUCUCUCGUCUCCUCGGUCCCCGAAAGUGUCGUGGGAGAGAGAAACCCCCGAGAUCGGCGAUGGUGGAGGGAGAGAGAGCCCUUCUCAACGAGACGAUGUAUCCGAUCCUCGGUAACCCUAGCGUCUCCCUGUCACUCGUCUUUUGUAACUUGAGUCUUUUGCUGACACGACAUGUUUUGGGAUACCCUAAGUUACUAUAAGCUGCAAACUUCGCAGAGACAAGUUUGAUAAGCAGAAUUAAUCAGUCGUUACUGUUGACUUUCGUUAAUAAAUAUGGAAGUGACGAACGAAAAGGCAUUGGAUAAAUGUGGGAGAAACACAGGAUAUCUUAAGAGGAAGCGCGACUUGGCCGAAAAUUUUACUGAGGCUAGCGUUGCUCGUAGAUCACGUCGACCUGUUGCAGAUCAAAUCACUAUCAGGUCUGGCAGCGAGAUAGAAUGUAACACCAAUUCCAGCCCUUGUUUUGAUAGGCAUAUUAUCCAAAGCUACCGUAAUUUUUUGUCAAGUGGGUUGCCACAGCGUGUGCUGUCUAAUGAGAAUGGUGAAUGGAAAGAUUUUCCAGAGAAUAUUAUCGAUUUGAUUCGGAGAGAUUUCCAAUCAAAGAAGGCAAUCACCGAAGCCGCAUAUCAGGACCAGCAAUUGUUGCUAGACUUUGUGCACAUGAUAUGCAUAGAUCUCGAGACGGGUCUCAAGAAGCCAAUCGCAUGGAUUGACGAAAAUGGAAAAUGUUUCUUUCCUGAAUUAUAUCCUGAGGUUUAUGCAUCAGAUGUACAUCAACAUUUCAAAAAAGGAAGUCAUGCUAAUAUUAUAUAUUCUGAGCCAAAUGAGAUAUCCAUCACUGCAACUCGAAUCUCAAAUUCGGAAUCUCAUGAUGAAGUCAUCUCUAAUAUCAACAAGGUCAAGCGUGAAGACAACUUCGAAAGAAACCAGAAGGUAUAUAAUGAAGCCGUUGAAGUGGUUGGAGAAAAUGAGCCAUGCUCUUUCUUCCCUUCUAGGGUUGGUAUCGUCGGAUCUGGUCACGAGAAGGUGUCUGGCCAGUUUGGUGGUCGUAGUGUCAGCUGUGCAGUGCAAGAUAUGCUACUCAAGGGACUGGGCCUAUUUGCUGAUGCAAAGGAUAUUGUUGGUAUCUAUCGAACCCCGUUGAUAGAUAACUUGGGACAAUUGCGUUUUAGUAUUUUCCAGGAGCAGAUAGAGCAUACUAAGAACCGACGCGGGAAUGCAAAUGUCCGUUAUGCUUGGCUUGCUUCUUAUAAGGAUGCUGUGGAGGAGAUGAUGUCGCGAGGUGUCUUGCAAAUUAAGAAGCCUACAAAGGGUCCUUUGUUUGGUAUUGGCAAUCAUCUUGCACCAGCAAAUCGAUCUGACAUAUGUGCUAGUUAUUCUGAUGUCGACGAAAAUGGCGUUAUCCAUAUGAUGUUAUGUCGAGUUAUAAUGGGGAAUGUGGAACUCAUCCAUCCUGGAUCUCAACAGUUUGAGCCUAGUGGAGAAAAUUUUGAUAGUGGUGUAGAUAAUCUUCAAAAACCAAAGCAUUAUAUUAUAUGGGAUAUGAAUAGGAACACUCACAUCUAUCCGGAGUAUGUUGUGACCAUCAAAGUGCCUUCCAGACCCAAAGAAUGUUUGGUUGUUAAAGAAAGCUCUUCUGAUGUGCCUUCAAUCACAAAUUCGAGUUCACCUGAUAGUCUUUUCCAGGAUAGGAAUUUUCAGCUUUCACCGGUGUCGGCAAAUCAAUCUCAAGCUCCCAUGUUUGGUAGAGCUCCUACCUCUCCUUGGAUGCCUUUCUCAAUGUUGUUUGCUGCAAUUUCGACGAAAGUGUCUCCUCAAGACAUGGACUUGGUUAAUACUUGUUAUGAAGAAUUCAAGCAAAAAAAGGUAAGCAGAAUUGACUUAGUUAAAAAGUUGAGGCAGAUUGUUGGGGACAAACUGUUGAUUUCUACAAUAAUGAGGCUCCAACGCAAGGUAUGUCAUUCUCGUAAACAAUGAUUCAUUGUUACUAAACGAACGCUAGGAAUUGGCAUUGACAUAUUCCACACCGGUCUCUUUAGAAGCAGAAAUUUGAUAUAUUUUUUUAAAUAAUGUAACAUGGUUAAACUCUGCUAAACCAAGUUGAUGCCAAAGUUUGUCCAUUUUAACUAAUUCAGUUGGUGUUGGUGCAAUAAUCCCAUUUAACAUUCUUCACUUUCCAAGAUAGUUAUGAGAAGUUUGUGUUUCACCAUAACCAAUACUUUUAAGAACAAAAAGUUUUGUUUUUGGAAAGCUCAAGCUGUUGGAAAAGCAGAUCCGUUGUGCUUUAUACUUAAAAGAGUCGUCCUGGUUGCUCUUUGUCUAAUGUAACCGACUUCUCUUUUCCCUUUGGUAGACUCAAUAUGUUAUGUCUGUACAUUUUGUAUGUGGAUUCUAGUAUUACCUGUCAUUAUUUGUCUGGUUACAAACUUUUGCAAGACCAGCAGUGUGUAGUUUCUCCCUCUUUGCUCCAUUUUUCAUAUUUGUGUUGAUCCUCAUUUCGGCGUGCAUCACUCUUGCUCAGUAUCAGUUCAACAUGGUUUUAUAGGAGCUAUUUCUUGUGUGAUGUGGCACGUGGUUAGAAAGUAGCUUGUUAAUUACAUGUCCACAUGAAAUUUGCCAGAAUAAAAGAAUGUCAUGACGGUAGCAUAUUCUGUGAGUCUGUGACCAAACUAUGCUUCUUUCUAAUGCAUCUUUGCAUGAAUUUGGGGACGAGUGCUUCUACAAGUACCCUCGGAGGUCCCUCUGAAAGGCUGCAAAUUCUAGCAUUCGCAUGUGGUGCACGCUGGUUGGGUUGCACGCGCACCUUUUGAAGCACCGCCAGCACAGCCGUGACACUUUGGGGGCCUGCACAAGGGGUACCCGAAGCAUCACUCUUUGGGAAAGCCCAAUAAGUAUCCAGUUGACUCAUCAGAGCCACCCUUCUGAUAUUGUCUUGAUUUACCACAAGUGGCUAGAUAUGAACAGCCAAAGACUGGGAUGCAAUCCAAGCCUUAAUCUCUCUCUCUCUCUCUCUCUCUCUCUCUCUCUCUCUCUCUAGCGCAAUGAAGUGUUUAGUCGACUCAAUGAUGUCCAAAGUAGACUGAGAUCUAGCUUGUCGUGGGCUUGCUUUUAUCCUGUGCUUUUCUCCUAUACACUUAGUUAUCACAGAACUGGAGUAUAUGUAGUAAAGAGCCGGCUACUGUUGAUUUCUGGGUGAUGCGUUGAUGGUUCUGCUGCUUUGCUAACGGUCCAGUUUGUUCAGUAAAACUGUAGUGAUAAUUGUUUUAAAUUUAAAACAAGUAUUGAGUGUUCUUCUCA
Ananas comosus (pineapple) is the source of this 3386-nucleotide RNA transcript. It is a transcript of the gene named inactive poly [ADP-ribose] polymerase RCD1-like, with no coding region annotated. The transcript is spliced from 7 exons. Lineage: Eukaryota; Viridiplantae; Streptophyta; Magnoliopsida; Poales; Bromeliaceae. The record is from RefSeq and is a predicted model, not a curated record.